UUAGAAAAAGUUAAGGGCUUACAGAGGAUGCCUUGGCGCCAAAAAGCGAUGAAGGACGUGGCAAGCUGCGAUAAGCUUCGGGGAGUGGCACACACACUGUGAUCCGAAGAUGUCCGAAUGGGUAAACCUGCCGGUAUAUCCGGCACCUGAAAGUGAAUACAUAGCUUUCAGAGAGCGAACGGGGGGAAGUGAAACAUCUCAGUACCCUCAGGAAAAGAAAUCAAGUGAGAUUCCCUCAGUAGCGGCGAGCGAACGGGGAGAAGCCUAAACCCUUUGUAUGUUAAAGAUUCCAGUCUUUGUACAGAGGGGGUCAUGGGACUUUCAGGAACUGCUGGAACAGUUCCACGGAGUUACAAAAUCAGAUUUUAGCUGAAGGGUCUGGAAAGGCCUGCCAGAGAAGGUGAUAGCCCUGUGGGCGAAAAAAUCUGAUCUCCGGUAAAGGAUCCCGAGUACCACCGAGCACGUGGAAUUCGUUGGGAAUUUGGGGGGACCACCUUCCAAGGCUAAAUAUUCAUUGGCGACCGAUAGUGAACUCAGUACCGUGAGGGAAAGGUGAAAAGAACCCCGAGAGGGGAGUGAAAUAGAACCUGAAACUGUAAGCUUACAAGCAGUGGGAGCGCUAUGUUUUAUACAGCGUGACCGCGUACCUUUUGCAUAAUGAGCCAGCGAGUUAUUGUCACAGGCCAGGUUAAGCCGAAAGAGGUGGAGCCGUAGCGAAAGCGAGUCUGAAAUGGGCGUUUGUCUGUGGUGAUAGACCCGAAACCCGGUGAGCUACUUAUGGCCAGGGUGAAGCGUGGUUAACCCUGCGUGGAGGCCCGAACCAGUGAAGGUUGAAAGCUUCUUGGAUGAGCUGUGAGUAGGAGUGAAAGGCUAAUCAAACUGGGUGAUAGCUGGUUCUCCUCGAAAUAUAUUUAGGUAUAGCCUCGAAAGUAUUCUAUCCCGGAGGUAGAGCUCUGAAUGGGCUAGGGGUCUUACCAGAUUACCAAACCCAACCAAACUGCGAAUGCCGGUGAUAGUUAUUUCGGGAGUCAGUCAUGGGGUGAUAAGGUCCUGUGACGAAAGGGAAAGAGCCCAGACCAUCAGCUAAGGUCCCCAAAUCCAUACUCAGUGUAAAACGAUGUGAAGUUACUUAUACAACCAGGAGGUUGGCUUAGAAGCAGCAAUCCUUUAAAGAAAGCGUAAUAGCUCACUGGUCUAGUGAUUUUGCGCGGAAGAUGUAACGGGGCUAAGUAUGGUACCGAAGCUAUGGACUGUUUUUUAAACAGUGGUAGAGGAGCGUUGCGAUGAGAUUGAAGGUUGAUCGUGAGGACAGCUGGACGAAUCGCAAGUGAUCAUGCUGGCAUAAGUAACGUAAAAACAGAGGUGAAAAACCUCUGCGCCGAAAACUCAAGGAUUCCUGGGCCAGGAUAAUCCUCCCAGGGUUAGUCGGGACCUAAGGCGAGGCCAUAAGGCGUAGCCGAUGGACAAACGGUUAAUAUUCCGUUACCGGUUUUCUUUUAUAACAAAGGAGUGACGAACUAGGUAUUUCCAGCCUGUUAUUGGAUUCAGGUGUAAACUUGCAAGAAGUGAUGUUGGCAAAUCCGCAUCAUAAUUCUUAGGAGUGAAUGCGAGGGGACCUCGUCCCUGGAAGUGGAAGGAGCCAUGGUUCCAAGAAAAGCUUCGUUGUGUUUUGAAAACCGCCCGUACCCUAAACCGACUCAGGUGAGUGGGAUGAGUAUUCUCAGGCGAUUGGGAUAAAUUUGGUUAAGGAACUCGCCAAAUUGGCACCGUAACUUCGGGAGAAGGUGUGCCCUUUGAGGUGAAGUCCCUCGCGGAUGGAGCUUUGGAGGGUCGCAGUGACCAGGGAGUAGCGACUGUUUACCAAAAACACAAGGCUGUGCAAAAUCGCAAGAUGAAGUAUACAGCCUGACGCCUGCCCGGUGCCGGAAGGUUAAGAGGACCUGUUAGCUUCGGCGAAGCGGGAAAUUGAAGCCCCGGUAAACGGCGGCCGUAACUAUAACGGUCCUAAGGUAGCGAAACUCCUUGUCGGGUAAAUUCCGACCUGCAUGAAUGGCGUAACGACUUCUUCAGUGUCUCAACCAAAUACCCAGUGAACUUGAAUUCUCAGUGAAAAUGCUGAGUACCCGCGGAAAGACGGAAAGACCCCGUGAACCUUUACUCUAACUUGGCAGUGAUCUUAGAGUGAAUAUGUGUAGGAUAGGUGGGAGACAGUGAAGCCGGAACGCCAGUUCCGGUGGAGUCAACCUUGAAAUACCACCCGUAUUGAUUUUGAGCUCUAACCCACGCCCGUGAUCCGGGUGGGGGACCUUGCCAGGCGGGGAGUUUGGCUGGGGUGGCCGCCUCCUAAAAAGUAACGGAGGCGCGCGAAGGUUCCCUCAGUCUGAUUGGAAACCAGACGCUGAGUGCAUUGGCAUAAGGGAGCUUAACUGUAAGACAGGCAAGUCGAGCAGAUGCGAAAGCAGGCCAAAGUGAUCCGGUGGUCCCGAGUGGAAGGGCCAUCGCUCAACGGAUAAAAGGUACGCCGGGGAUAACAGGCUGAUACUGCCCAAGAGUCCAUAUCGACGGCAGUGUUUGGCACCUCGAUGUCGGCUCAUCUCAUCCUGGGGCUGGAGCAGGUCCCAAGGGUACGGC
Molecule: ribosomal RNA, 2631 nt
Filed under: Bdellovibrionales bacterium
Lineage: Bacteria; Pseudomonadati; Bdellovibrionota; Bdellovibrionia; Bdellovibrionales
Description: partial 23S ribosomal RNA
Rfam family: Bacterial large subunit ribosomal RNA
Source: RNAcentral